UCAAAUAAAUAAAAUCUUAAAAAAAAAUUAAAAAAAUCCUUUAAAAACAUUUAUUUUUUAUGAUCUCUCAUGAUUUCUAUAUGCUAGAUAUUCAGACAGGGUACGGUGGGGAUGAUGAAUGGAGCCUUAAAUGUAAGAAGGCUGGAGCUGGAAUCAUGAGGCUCGUUUACUCACAUGUCUGGUGGUUGAUGCUGACUGUUGGCUGGAACACUUGCCUAAGGGCUUCUCCUUGUGGCCUGGGCUUCCUCACAACAUGGUGGCUGGGUUCCAAGGGCAAGCAUAUUGGACAGACGUGGGUACCCUAUCAUGGAAUGGACUCCAGAGCUACACUGUCUGGAUUUGCAUCCCAGAUCUGCUACUUCCUGAUUGAGUAACUUCUGGGGCUGUCGCUGAUUGGCUGGCUUGCAGAGGCUGGGGGCUGUCCUUGACUUGCUGACUUUCAGAAGCUUGGUUACCGGGGUGAGAUCAUCGCUGAUUGGCUGAUUUUCAGAACAAAAAUCAUUCUAUUUACUUAUUUGUCUCGGAGAGAGAGAGCACAAGCAGGGGGAGCGGUACAGGGAGAGGGAGAAGCAGUGAUGAUCCUGCCAAGUAAGCCCAAUACUGGACUCGAUCCCAGGACUCCUGGAGCGUGACCCAAGCUGAAGGCAGACGGUUAACCGACUGAGCCGCCCAGGUGCUCCUCAUCUAUUUAACCUCACACCCAUUUCAUAAGGUCCUCUGCCCUUUCUAGAACAUGCUGUCUGUGCAGGGAGUGUUGUCCAGCGUGGAGACUACAGGCAGGUUGCUUCCAGAUCUGGGUGUCCCCUCAGUGACUACUCCGGCCUAGCAGGACCCCCUGGAUCUCUCUAGAUCUUUGCUGGGGAUGUGUGAAGGCAGAAGUGGCUCCUGGCCGGACACACGCUACUUUAAGUUGGAGGACUCACACUCUGCUCAGGCGGCAACAAUGGUAACAACAACCAUUCAAAACACUCACAAGUGGCUGUAUUUACACACCAGAGACCUUGCUCAGAGUUUGGCAUGUAUCAUCUCAUUUAAUCAGCAGAACAGCCCUGGGAGCUACGUGCUUCCUUAUUUGACAGAUGAGGAAGCUGAGGCCAGGCGAUGUUUCUUGCUGAGGUCACAUAGUUGAUGAAUGACAGAACUAAGACUUGAACCUAAGUCUUUCUAGAGUUCAUGUGCUAAAACUACAAGGCUACGUUGCUUGAAUGACCUGCGACCAUUUGGAAACACAGCCUCUGUUUAUAUUUUUAUAAUCAUUUAUGUAUGUACUUGUUCAUAUAUAAAUAUGUAUAUAUAUUUUUAAAAGAUUUUAUUUAUUUGACAGAGAGAGAGCGAACACAAGCAGGGGAAGUGGCAGAGGAAGAGGGAGAAGCAGGCUUCUCACUGAAGAAGGGGCCCGAUAUGGGGCUCAAUCCCAGGACCCCUGGGAUCAAGACCCAAGCCCAAGGCAGACACUUAACCAAAUGAGCCACCCAGGUGCCCUAAUAUUUUUUAAUAAAUUAAUGAAUAAAGCACUUAGCAUAGGGGCUGGCACAUGAGACUCAUGAGUGUUUAUGACAGUUACAAUGGAUAUGUUCUUUUUUUUUUAAAAGAUUUUAUUAUUUAUUUGAGAGAGAAAGAAAGCGAGAGAGAUCACAGAGGGAGAUGGAGAAGCAGAUGCCCCACUGAGCAGGGAGCCUGACAUGGGACCCGAUCCCAGGACCCUGGGAUCAUGACCUGAGCCGAAGGCAGAUGCCCAACUGACUGAGCCACCCAGG
This is a long non-coding RNA of Mirounga angustirostris (Northern elephant seal), 1757 nucleotides long. RefSeq lists it as uncharacterized. The record is from RefSeq and is a predicted model, not a curated record. The transcript has 3 exons. NCBI's taxonomy places the organism in Eukaryota, Metazoa, Chordata, Mammalia, Carnivora, Phocidae.